This is a long non-coding RNA of Acinonyx jubatus (cheetah), 1488 nucleotides long. RefSeq lists it as uncharacterized. NCBI's taxonomy places the organism in Eukaryota, Metazoa, Chordata, Mammalia, Carnivora, Felidae. The record is from RefSeq and is a predicted model, not a curated record. The transcript is spliced from 3 exons.
GCUGCUGACAAAAACAUAUACGACGUGUCAAUACUUAGAAACAUUCUUCAUGAAAAUACCUAAAAUGACAAGUAACUUGAAUAUACUCAGUUGUGGUUUCCCACAAAGUAAUUUGCAUACUGUUUCCUUCAAAUAAAUGGAUUUACACAAAAAUGUCCCCAGCUUUUAUUUACUAACCCUAAAGGAAAUUUAUCACCACAUGUAUCACCUCCAAAAGAUUCAAUGGCUUUCUCUGUCGCCUUCUGAAUUCACUGAUAUCUGCUUCAUGUAUACUCUGGCUUGUCUUCACUCAAACAUAUUAUCCUUGAGCUUAAAGGCCACAUCAUACUCUUGAAAACACACAUUUUCCAGAGGGUUCUUCUGUAUAUGGUCUGAUGUGUAGCCAUCUACUGACCCUUUCAGAGUUUCUAUAAAAGGGAGAACCUUCUUACCUCACAGUGCCAUUGUAAGGAUUAAAACUGCAUGUUCCGGAAGUUCUGGCACACGAGACAGGAUCAUUCUCCUCCUCCACAGUGAACAUUUAUGGACUAACCAACUGUACGCACAAAGCAGACUGACCAAGAAGAGCUAUACUUGGCAUUCAUGGCAGUUCUUUCAGCAGCUAUCAGCUAAAAUGAGCUAGGAGCCAGUGGAUUACUUCUUGGAUAACCUCUAAGGAAAAAAAAAAUACUGUUCGGCACUCGAAGGAAAUGAACUAUCAAGCCAUGAAAAGGCAUAGAGGAAACUUAAAUGCAUACUACUAAGUGAAAGAAACCAACCUGAGAAGUCUGAAAACAGUAUGAUUUCAACUAUAUGACAUUUUGGAGAAGGCAAACUAUGGAGGCAGUAAAAAGAUCAGCAGCUGCCAGGGCAUUCCUCUAGGCUCUGCGAUAUGGAGACGGGCCCCUUGAACACUGCUCUGUGACCAGCAGCACCAGGUUAAGCUCCGUCAGUGCAGGGAGCUGGAGAUCCGCUGGAGGAGAGAGGGUUUUCGCCUCCAGGGUCCAGGACACCACUCUGGCCAGGCCCUCGCCGUACCUGCUUCUCUAGCGCCUUGCUCCCGCCAGGAGCGGCUUCUUUAGCACCCGAGGCCCACAGCGCACAGAAGCGCCUCGGACCCGGCGCCGCGCCGCGCCGAGCAGCUUCCCGCCUGCUGCCACCCGCGAGGCACCUCCCCAUGAGCAGCUCUCCCUAACACCGCCUCGUGUGCAGCAAAUCCCCAGAGGCGGCACCAUCCUGGCCUCCACCAGCACCCCAGAGGGAGAACGGCCAGGAGGGUGCUUUUGAGACGCCGACUUCACCCUCCAGUGAGCAAGGCCCGCACUCCCCAAGGCCCGGGUCUCAGACGCAGGAAGAGGGCAGCCUCUGGGGGCGCUCCAGCUCAGCCCUGGGGUAGCAGGUACCUACUAAAUCUGCUCUUCCUGAAUUCAUUAAAGUUGUCUUUACUUUUGGCUAACCAAUUCUUGUCCCUUGAAUCAUGUUAUAGUUAAUAAUUCCGUCCAUUCAACU